RNAcentral lists this ribosomal RNA (252 nucleotides) under uncultured bacterium. RNAcentral's name for it is "partial 16S ribosomal RNA". It matches the Rfam family "Bacterial small subunit ribosomal RNA", at positions 57 to 305 of the family's 1533-position model. The record is from RNAcentral.
GCAAGUCGAACGGAAACGAUAAGAGCUUGCUCUUAGGCGUCGAGUGGCGGACGGGUGCGUAACGCGUAGGAAUCUGCCUGAUAGUGGGGGAUAGCCCAGAGAAAUCUGGAUUAAUACCGCAUAAUCUCCAUGGAGUAAAGAGGGCCUCUAUUUAUAAGCUUUCGCUAUCAGAUGAGCCUGCGUAAGAUUAGCUAGUUGGUGAGGUAAAUGCUCACCAAGGCGACGAUCUUUAGCUGGUCUGAGAGGAUGAUC